CUGCCUGUGGCCUAGUGGGCAAGGUUACAGUCUUGGGAACAUGAGGGUGUAGGUUCAAGCCCAGCUAGGAAUA
RNAcentral lists this transfer RNA (73 nucleotides) under Anguilla anguilla (European eel). RNAcentral's name for it is "tRNA-OTHER". The record is from RNAcentral. Lineage: Eukaryota; Metazoa; Chordata; Actinopteri; Anguilliformes; Anguillidae.